GAGAAACUCAGUCACAUAGGUAGCUGCACCGAGAGGUUCAUCUUCAAUUUUGAUGGGUUGCCACCACAAACUGCUAGGUGUCACUGGUGGAUUUUGAGAGCAAUUAGAAUGAUAUUGAUGAUCGAUCAUUCUAAUUGUCUGAAUCAGAAGAGUUCUGGUCCAUCGAAAGGAGUUUCGAUGAUGUCGAUGAUGAGAUCAUGACAUAUCUCAUUAC
Molecule: long non-coding RNA, 214 nt
Filed under: Elaeis guineensis (African oil palm)
Lineage: Eukaryota; Viridiplantae; Streptophyta; Magnoliopsida; Arecales; Arecaceae
Description: long non-coding RNA (EGUI_LNC067830)
Source: RNAcentral